GGCCGACUAGCUCAGUUGGUUAGAGCGUCGUGCCAAUAACGCGAAGGUCUUGGGUUCGAUCCCCACGUUGGCCA
This 74-nucleotide transfer RNA is filed under the name Collybiopsis luxurians FD-317 M1. RNAcentral describes it as "tRNA-Ile (AAT) (tRNA-Ile-AAT-2-1)". It matches the Rfam family "tRNA". Rfam says of the family: Transfer RNA (tRNA) molecules are approximately 80 nucleotides in length. RNAcentral also lists the same sequence under 1 other name. Lineage: Eukaryota; Fungi; Basidiomycota; Agaricomycetes; Agaricales; Omphalotaceae. The record is from RNAcentral.